Molecule: long non-coding RNA, 229 nt
Organism: Scomber japonicus (chub mackerel)
Lineage: Eukaryota; Metazoa; Chordata; Actinopteri; Scombriformes; Scombridae
Exons: 3
Source: RefSeq, a predicted model, not a curated record
ACAGUGUAGAAAGGUCCUCACAAUGUAGAGAUGUCCUCACAAUGUAGAAAUGUCCUCACAGUGUAGGAAGGUCCUCACAAUGUAGAAAUGUCCCUUAAAAUAUAGAAAUGUCCUCACAAUGUAGAGAUGUCCUCAUAGUUGUAGGAAGGUCCUCACAAUGUAGAAAUGUCCUCACAAUGUAGGAAGGUCCUCACAAUGUAGAAAUGUCCCUUAAAAUAUAGGAAGGUCC